RNAcentral lists this transfer RNA (72 nucleotides) under Micropygomyia cayennensis. RNAcentral describes it as "tRNA-Ala". The record is from RNAcentral. Lineage: Eukaryota; Metazoa; Arthropoda; Insecta; Diptera; Psychodidae.
AGGAGUAUAGUUAAUUAUAACAUUUAAGUUGCAUUUAAAAAGUAUUGAAAUCAAUUACUCUUAUUUAAUUUU